AAGCGUUACUCGGAAUCACUGGGCGUAAAGAGCAUGUAGGCGGAUUAAUAAGUUUGAAGUGAAAUCCUAUAGCUUAACUAUAGAACUGCUUUGAAAACUGUUAGUCUAGAAUGUGGGAGAGGUAGAUGGAAUUUCUGGUGGUAGGGGUAAAAUCCGUAGAGAUCGGAAGGAAUACCGAUUGCGAAGGCGAUCUACUGGAACAUUAUUGACGCUGAGAUGCGAAAGCGUGGGGAGC
Molecule: ribosomal RNA, 235 nt
Filed under: uncultured bacterium
Lineage: Bacteria
Description: partial 16S ribosomal RNA
Rfam family: Bacterial small subunit ribosomal RNA
Source: RNAcentral